Molecule: ribosomal RNA, 406 nt
Filed under: uncultured bacterium
Lineage: Bacteria
Description: partial 16S ribosomal RNA
Rfam family: Bacterial small subunit ribosomal RNA
Source: RNAcentral
AUUGAACGCUGGCGGCAGGCCUAACUCAUGCAAGUCGUACGAGUGGCGGACGGGUGAGUAAUGUCUGGGAAACUGCCUGAUGGAGGGGGAUAACUACUGGAAACGGUAGCUAAUACCGCAUACCAUCGGAUGUGCCCAGCUGGGAGUAGCUAGUAGGUGGGGCAAAGGCUCACCUAGGCGACGAUCCCUAGCUGGUCUGAGAGGAUGACCAGCCACAAGGGAACUGAGACACGGUCCAGACUCGUACGGGAGGCAACGGUGGAGAAUAUUGCACAAUGGGCGCAAGCCGGAUGCAGCCAUACCGAGUGUAUGAAGAAGGCCUUCGGGUUGUAAAGUACUUUCAGCGGGGUUGCGUUAACCGCAGAAAAAGCACCGGCUAACUCCGUGCCAGCAGCCGCGGUAACAC